This 240-nucleotide ribosomal RNA is filed under the name uncultured Staphylococcus sp. RNAcentral's name for it is "partial 16S ribosomal RNA". It matches the Rfam family "Bacterial small subunit ribosomal RNA", at positions 122 to 355 of the family's 1533-position model. The record is from RNAcentral. Lineage: Bacteria; Bacillati; Bacillota; Bacilli; Caryophanales; Staphylococcaceae.
UAACCUACCUAUAAGACUGGGAUAACUUCGGGAAACCGGAGCUAAUACCGGAUAAUAUUUCGAACCGCAUGGUUCGAUAGUGAAAGGUGGUUUUGCUAUCACUUAUAGAUGGACCCGCGCCGUAUUAGCUAGUUGGUAAGGUAACGGCUUACCAAGGCGACGAUACGUAGCCGACCUGAGAGGGUGAUCGGCCACACUGGAACUGAGACACGGUCCAGACUCCUACGGGAGGCAGCAGUC